CCCUGGCACUGUCUCACCAGGAGCUGUUUAUCUGGCACACGAGGUAUGGGAGAGACACCGGAAUGGUCAGCUGCUGGCUUGGUCCAGGACAAAGAAGAUAGAUAAAAGUCCAAUCCACCUGGAGUCUUUGGGUCAACCUGGAGGAAGACAUGGUGG
RNAcentral lists this long non-coding RNA (156 nucleotides) under Cavia porcellus (domestic guinea pig). RNAcentral's name for it is "lncRNA (ENSCPOG00000037518.1)". Lineage: Eukaryota; Metazoa; Chordata; Mammalia; Rodentia; Caviidae. The record is from RNAcentral.